GGUAAGGUAACGGCUUACCAAGGCGACGAUGGGUAGGGGUCCUGAGAGGGAGAUCCCCCACACUGGUACUGAGACACGGACCAGACUCCUACGGGAGGCAGCAGUGAGGAAUAUUGGUCAAUGGGCGCAAGCCUGAACCAGCCAUGCCGCGUGCAGGAUGACGGUCCUAUGGAUUGUAAACUGCUUUUGUACGGGAAGAAACACUGAUUCGUGAAUCAGCCUGACGGUACCGUAAGAAUAAGGAUCGGCUAACUCCGUGCCAGCAGCCGCGGUAAUACGGAGGAUCCAAGCGUUAUCCGGAAUCAUUGGGUUUAAAGGGUCUGUAGGCGGUCUUGUAAGUCAGUGGUGAAAGCCCAUCGCUCAACGGUGGAACGGCCAUUGAUACUGCAGGACUUGAAUUACCGGGAAGUAACUAGAAUAUGUAGUGUAGCGGUGAAAUGCUUAGAUAUUACAUGGAAUACCAAUUGCGAAGGCAGGUUACUACCGGUGGAUUGACGCUGAUGGACGAAAGCGUGGGGAGCGAACAGGAUUAGAUACCCUGGUAGUCCACGCCGUAAACGAUGGAUACUAGCUGCUGGGGGCGACUUCAGUGGCUAAGCGAAAGUGAUAAGUAUCCCACCUGGGGAGUACGAACGCAAGUUUGAAACUCAAAGGAAUUGACGGGGGCCCGCACAAGCGGUGGAGCAUGUGGUUUAAUUCGAUGAUACGCGAGGAACCUUACCAAGGCUUAAAUGCAGACUGACCGGUUUGGAAACAGACCUUUCGCAAGACAGUCUACAAGGUGCUGCAUGGUUGUCGUCAGCUCGUGCCGUGAGGUGUCAGGUUAAGUCCUAUAACGAGCGCAAC
RNAcentral lists this ribosomal RNA (846 nucleotides) under Flavobacterium sp. Its description in RNAcentral is "bacterial SSU rRNA". It matches the Rfam family "Bacterial small subunit ribosomal RNA", at positions 251 to 1102 of the family's 1533-position model. Lineage: Bacteria; Pseudomonadati; Bacteroidota; Flavobacteriia; Flavobacteriales; Flavobacteriaceae. The record is from RNAcentral.